CGCACAAUCACACAGUAUAGAAAAUGGAUUAAGAAUAACACAACAUUUAUGUGGUUUGAUAGUAAGGUUUAUGUUCAUGGGUAAGAUGAGAGAAAGUUUCACUAUGAUGAAAAAAUCAAAAUACAAUUACUCAGAACUUUCUUAGUUGAUAGAUUUUUUCUGUUUAUCUUACUUGGAUAUGCUUAAAUGUUCUGCAUUUCUGCUGGAUUAGCUGUUUACUGCCAUACCUCAGCACAAGUAUUUACCUUGUGAAAUGAAAUAAAAUCUGAAAUCAAGAAAAUUAUUACUUUUUGUAGAUCAUGCAAUUUACUAAAACUUCGAUGUUAAAUUGCUAAUAUAUACAAACACGCCCUGUCCAACUUUUUUCAGAUAUGUGCCUGCAUAAUGACUUCAUGUGUAUUUUGUACUUGUAAUACAAUGUUCAUUUGCUAAGUCAUUCAUUCAAGAAAAUUAAAGAAACAACUUCAUUUCUUAAGACAAUAAAAUGCAGUAUUUCCAUUUCUUCCUUGAUAGUUGAUUCCUUAUGCUGUGCACUUUAAUUUGAUUCUGGUCUUUUUUGUUUUUUUAAAAAAAAGAAAAGUGUCAUAAUUAAUGAUCAUUAAGCUUCUUUUGUGACCAUUAAGCUUGAGAUUAUUUUUUCCAUUGACAUACCUCUCAUGUGGUAUGUGAACAGGAAAUAUAGGGAGCAUGUGAAGGA
This 697-nucleotide unclassified non-coding RNA is filed under the name Hevea brasiliensis (rubber tree). Lineage: Eukaryota; Viridiplantae; Streptophyta; Magnoliopsida; Malpighiales; Euphorbiaceae. The record is from RNAcentral.